RNAcentral lists this ribosomal RNA (382 nucleotides) under uncultured eukaryote. RNAcentral's name for it is "partial 18S ribosomal RNA". It matches the Rfam family "Eukaryotic small subunit ribosomal RNA", at positions 592 to 976 of the family's 1831-position model. The record is from RNAcentral.
UGUAAGCGUAUACCAAAGUUGUUGCAGUUAAAACGCUCGUAGUCGGAAUUUGGCAGUUCCGGAUGUGUGCACGUCGUGUGCGCACUUCGCGGGGAUUGCUUUUGUGGUCUUGCGUAGGAUGAGGCACUUUUAUUAGUGAACGUCCUCACGCAACCACUUUUUACUGUGAGAAAAUCAGAGUGCUCAAAGCAGGCAUUUGCCGUGAAUGUAUUAGCAUGGAAUAAUAGAAUAGGACUUGGUUCUAUUUUGUUGGUUUGUUGGGACUGAGUAAUGAUUAAGAGGGACAGUUGGGGGCAUUUGUAUUUCGGUGCUAGCGGUGAAAUUCUUAGAUUACCGAAAGACAAACUGCUGCGAAAGCGUCUGCCAAGGAUGUUUUCAUUGA